This 662-nucleotide ribosomal RNA is filed under the name uncultured bacterium. RNAcentral describes it as "bacterial SSU rRNA". It matches the Rfam family "Bacterial small subunit ribosomal RNA", at positions 144 to 803 of the family's 1533-position model. The record is from RNAcentral.
UAGCCCGGCGAAAGUCGGAUUAAUACCCCAUAAAACAGGGGUCCCGCAUGGGAAUAUUUGUUAAAGAUUCAUCGCUGAUAGAUAGGCAUGCGUUCCAUUAGGCAGUUGGCGGGGUAACGGCCCACCAAACCGACGAUGGAUAGGGGUUCUGAGAGGAAGGUCCCCCACAUUGGUACUGAGACACGGACCAAACUCCUACGGGAGGCAGCAGUGAGGAAUAUUGGUCAAUGGCCGAGAGGCUGAACCAGCCAAGUCGCGUGAAGGAAGAAGGAUCUAUGGUUUGUAAACUUCUUUUAUAGGGGAAUAAAGUGGAGGACGUGUCCUUUUUUGUAUGUACCCUAUGAAUAAGCAUCGGCUAACUCCGUGCCAGCAGCCGCGGUAAUACGGAGGAUGCGAGCGUUAUCCGGAUUUAUUGGGUUUAAAGGGUGCGUAGGUGGUGAUUUAAGUCAGCGGUGAAAGUUUGUGGCUCAACCAUAAAAUUGCCGUUGAAACUGGGUUACUUGAGUGUGUUUGAGGUAGGCGGAAUGCGUGGUGUAGCGGUGAAAUGCAUAGAUAUCACGCAGAACUCCGAUUGCGAAGGCAGCUUACUAAACCAUAACUGACACUGAAGCACGAAAGCGUGGGGAUCAAACAGGAUUAGAUACCCUGGUAGUCCACGCAGU